Molecule: ribosomal RNA, 372 nt
Filed under: uncultured bacterium
Lineage: Bacteria
Description: bacterial SSU rRNA
Rfam family: Bacterial small subunit ribosomal RNA
Source: RNAcentral
AUACGUAUGGGGCAAGCGUUGUCCGGAAUUAUUGGGCGUAAAGGGUACGUAGGCGGUUAUUUAAGUCUAAAUUAAAAGGCAUUGGCUCAACCAAUGUAAGGUUUAGAUACUGGGUAACUUGAGUAGAUGAGGGGAAAGUGGAAUUCCAUGUGUAGCGGUGAAAUGCGUAGAUAUAUGGAGGAACACCAAUGGCGAAGGCAACUUUCUGGAAUCAAACUGACGCUGAGGUACGAAGGCGUGGGGAGCAAACAGGAUUAGAUACCCUGGUAGUCCACGCAGUAAACGAUGAGUGCUAGAUGUUGGGAGUCAAAUCUCAGUGUCGCAGCUAACGCAAUAAGCACUCCGCCUGGGGAGUACGUACGCAAGUAUGAA